GUAAUAUUUAUUAACAUAUUUUGACUAAGACUAAGGAAAUAUUCGAUCAUAAUAAUAAUCUAAAUCAAUAAAAAAUAACAAACAAUAUCUUGACAAGAUUUUUCUAUAUAAAAAAAGAAUAAAAUUUGACACAAAUGGUUAAGAUAUUAUAAGGUAAGGAAUUUAUUUUUAUAUUAUUUUGACUACAAUCCAAGAAAUUAAGCUCAAGGAUAUUUUGAUAAAAUUUUCAUUUUAUGCAAAUUUAUGUUAUUAUAUAUACAACAACAUAAAUCAAAAUAAAACACUAAACAAAAAUUAAGAAAAGUUCAUACAAAAUGAGUUUCUCCAAAAACAUAUUGAUCGCAUUUGUUUUCACCAUCUUCUUCCUAGUAUCUAAUGUUCAUUGCUACCCAGACUUUGAAGUAAAACAAGACUACAAAAAAUGCUACCUUCCGUGUAAACAAAUAGCCGAAGGAUGUGAGAGGUUUUGUGCAGCUAUGACCAUUCAGUUAGUUGGUGAAUGUAUUUCUGAUAUAUGUUGUUGUAGGUCAAAAAGGCCAAAUUAACAUUAUUAGAGAUUAUACAUUUUGUACCAGUGUCAAGAGUGCUAAUAAGGAUCCAAAUCAAUUAGCAAACUGAAGUUACUUUGAUAGAGAAAUUAUCUUUCCUUAAAAGAAAUAAAAAAUAUUAAUUCAACAUAUAGGAUAUCUAAAUAGAAAAUAUCAAAAUUACUAGUGAAACAAGUCCUCAUAUACUAAUGGUGAAUUCAAUAAUUUUUUGGAUAACUAGAAUAUAUAUUUUUUAAUUUGAUAUUUUUCGGCGCAGAACCUUUGAUUCUCUUUUUAAUCGAUUGAACACAAUUGGCUUUGAUAUUUUAUAUUUGUAAAGGAUAACAAUUUGCGAGUAUGGUUUUGAUAGUAAUCUUGUAGUUGAAACACCAUUAAUUCGUCCUCGAAGAAACUAUAUAUAUUUUCUUUGUACUUUAAAUCAAAUAUUAAAUGGAUUAGACAAAACAUAUAGUCAAGAUAUUUAUUGUUAAAAAUAUGUUUUUACUGAACCCAUAAUUAUUUAUAUACAACUAAAAUAUAUUUUGUGUACUAAUACAUCUACCCGCGUAUCAUUUUUCACUGAAAUAUAAUAUCAAAAACUGAAUGCUUUAUUUGAUUAUAUAAAUGUAGUUCAUGUCAAUAAUUACAUAUUUCUUACCUAAUUUUUGUUGUAUAUUUUAAAAUUCAUGUUCAUUAUAAAAUAUGUGUUGAUAUUAGAAGAGCAAAUAAUAAUAAAAUAUGUGUUGAAAAAUUACAAGAGAAAAUAAUUUAUAUUGUCUAAAUAUAUUAUGCAUAAUGUAUUUGGCUUAUGUUAAGCUGAAAAUAAUUAUAGAAAAUUAUAAGUCUAACUAAAAUACGAAAGACACUCAAGAAUAAAAAAAUUCCCAAUUAGUUAUAUUGCAAAUUAAUGCAUUUAUUAUAAAACAUAAAAAAAUUAAGUUCUAAGAUUCUACUGAACUAAAAAUAAUAACUUACAUGCAUGAAAAACCUCAUAUGCCAAGUUCAUAUAUAUUUAAAUAUUUAAUUUAUGAAAAGAAAUUUGUAAUAUUUAUUAACAUGUUUUGACUAAGACUAAGGAAAUAUUCGAUCAUAAUAAUAAUCUAGAUCAAUAACAAAUAACAAACAAUAUCUUGACAAGAUAUUUCUAUAUAAAAAAAGAAUAAAAUUUGACACCAAUGGUAAAGAUAUUAUAAGGUAAGGAAUUUAUUUUUAUAUUAUUUUGACUACAAUCCAAGAAAUUAAGCUCAAGGAUAUUUUGAUAAAAUUUUCCUUUUAUGUAAAUUUAUGUUAUUAUAUUUACAACAACAUAAAUCAAAAUAAAACACUAAACAAAAAUUAAGAAAAGUUCAUACAAAAUGGGUUUCUCCAAAAACAUAUUAAUCGCAUUUGUUUUCACCAUCUUCUUCGUAGUAUCUAAUAUUCAUUGCUACCCAGACUUUGAAGUAAAACAAGACUACAAAAAAUGCUACCUUCCGUGUAAACAAAUAGCCGAAGGAUGUGAGAGGUUUUGUGCAGCGAUGAGCAUUCAGUUGGUUGGUGAAUGUAUUUCUGAUAUAUGUUGUUGUAGGUCAAAAAGGCCAAAUUAACAUUAUUAAAGAUUAUACAUUUUGUACUAGUGUCAAGAGUGCUAAUAAAGAUCCAAAUCAAUUAGCAAA
Long non-coding RNA from Brassica napus (rape), 2182 nucleotides. RefSeq lists it as uncharacterized. The record is from RefSeq and is a predicted model, not a curated record. The transcript is spliced from 3 exons. NCBI's taxonomy places the organism in Eukaryota, Viridiplantae, Streptophyta, Magnoliopsida, Brassicales, Brassicaceae.